UACGAAGGGGGCUAGCGUUGUUCGGAAUUACUGGGCGUAAAGAGUUCGUAGGCGGUCUGCUAAGCUAGAUGUGAAAUCCCAGGGCUUAACCUUGGAACUGCAUUUAGAACUGGUAGGCUAGAGAGUGUUAGAGGUUGGUAGAAUUUCUAGUGUAGGGGUGAAAUCCGUAGAUAUUAGAAGGAAUACCGAUGGCGAAGGCAGCCAACUGGGACAUUUCUGACGCUGAGGAACGAAAGCGUGGGGAGCAAACAGG
This 253-nucleotide ribosomal RNA is filed under the name uncultured bacterium. RNAcentral's name for it is "partial 16S ribosomal RNA". It matches the Rfam family "Bacterial small subunit ribosomal RNA", at positions 524 to 776 of the family's 1533-position model. The record is from RNAcentral.